This 1391-nucleotide ribosomal RNA is filed under the name Streptomyces sp. KSR88S16. RNAcentral's name for it is "bacterial SSU rRNA". It matches the Rfam family "Bacterial small subunit ribosomal RNA". Lineage: Bacteria; Bacillati; Actinomycetota; Actinomycetes; Kitasatosporales; Streptomycetaceae. The record is from RNAcentral.
UGGCGAACGGGUGAGUAACACGUGGGCAAUCUGCCCUGACACUCUGGGACAAGCCCUGGAAACGGGGUCUAAUACCGGAUAUGAGCCUUGACAGGCAUCUGUGAGGCUGGAACACCUCCUUAGUGCAGGAUGAGCCCGCGGCCUAUCAGCUUGUUGGUGAGGUAACGGCUCACCAAGGCGACGACGGGUAGCCUGCCUGAUAGGGCGACCGGCCACACUAGGACUGAGACACGGCCCAGACUCCUACGGGAGGCAGCAGUGGGGAAUAUUGCACAAUGGGCGCAAGCCUGAUGCAGCGACGCCGCGUGAGGGAUGACGGCCUUCGGGUUGUAAACCUCUUUCAGCAGGGAAGAAGCGAGAGUGACGGUACCUGCAGAAGAAGCGCCGGCUAACUACGUGCCAGCAGCCGCGGUAAUACGUAAGGCGCAAGCGUUGUCCGGAAUUAUUGGGCGUAAAGAGCUCCUAAGCGGCUUGUCGCGUCGGUUGUGAAAGCCCGGGGCUUAACCCCGGGUCUGCAGUCGAUACGGGCAGGCUAGAGUUCGGUAGGGGAGAUCGGAAUUCCUGGUGUAGCGGUGAAAUGCGCAGAUAUCAGGAGGAACACCGGUGGCGAAGGCGGAUCUCUGGGCCGAUACUGACGCUGAGGAGCGAAAGCGUGGGGAGCGAACAGGAUUAGAUACCCUGGUAGUCCACGCCGUAAACGGUGGGCACUAGGUGUGGGCAGCAUUCCACGUUGUCCGUGCCGCAGCUAACGCAUUAAGUGCCCCGCCUGGGGAGUACGGCCGCAAGGCUAAAACUCAAAGGAAUUGACGGGGGCCCGCACAAGCGGCGGAGCAUGUGGCUUAAUUCGACGCAACGCGAAGAACCUUACCAAGGCUUGACAUACACCGGAAAGCAUUAGAGAUAGUGCCCCCCUUGUGGUCGGUGUACAGGUGGUGCAUGGCUGUCGUCAGCUCGUGUCGUGAGAUGUUGGGUUAAGUCCCGCAACGAGCGCAACCCUUGUCCCGUGUUGCCAGCAGGCCCUUGUGGUGCUGGGGACUCACGGGAGACCGCCGGGGUCAACUCGGAGGAAGGUGGGGACGACGUCAAGUCAUCAUGCCCCUUAUGUCUUGGGCUGCACACGUGCUACAAUGGCCGGUACAAUGAGCUGCGAUACCGUGAGGUGGAGCGAAUCUCAAAAAGCCGGUCUCAGUUCGGAUUGGGGUCUGCAACUCGACCCCAUGAAGUCGGUAGAGUUAGAUCUUGGAUCAGAACGAACGUCUGGCGGAGAGCGUUAACACAUCCCAAGUCGCACGACGAAUCCCUUCGGGGUGGAUUAGUGACAGCAUUAGGGAGGGAUCCCUACGCACUGUUGCGGGACCUUUACAAUGUGACAACUGGCGUCCCGGAUCGCC